ACUCCUACGGAAGGCAGCAGUGGGGAAUAUUGCGCAAUGGGCGAAAGCCUGACGCAGCAACGCCGCGUGAGGGAUGAAGUACGUCGAGAUGUAAACCUCUUUCAGCAGGGACGAAGCGAAAGUGACGGUACCUGCAGAAGAAGCGCCGGCUAACUACGUGCCAGCAGCCGCGGUAAUG
Molecule: ribosomal RNA, 178 nt
Filed under: uncultured bacterium
Lineage: Bacteria
Description: partial 16S ribosomal RNA
Rfam family: Bacterial small subunit ribosomal RNA
Source: RNAcentral